This 400-nucleotide ribosomal RNA is filed under the name uncultured bacterium. Its description in RNAcentral is "bacterial SSU rRNA". It matches the Rfam family "Archaeal small subunit ribosomal RNA", at positions 339 to 739 of the family's 1478-position model. The record is from RNAcentral.
GCGCGAAAACUUUACAAUGCUGGCAACAGCGAUAAGGGAACCUCGAGUGCCAGGUUACAAAUCUGGCUGUCGAGAUGCCUAAAAAGCAUUUCAUAGCAAGGGCCGGGCAAGACCGGUGCCAGCCGCCGCGGUAACACCGGCGGCUCGAGUGGUAACCGUUAUUAUUGGGUCUAAAGGGUCUGUAGCCGGCCGGAUAAGUCUCUUGAGAAAUCUGGCAGCUUAACUGUCAGGCUUUCAGGAGAUACUGUCUGGCUCGAGGCCGGGAGAGGUGAGAGGUACUUCGAGGGGUAGGGUGAAAUCUUGUAAUCCUUGAAGGACCACCAGUGGCGAAGGCGUCUCACCAGAACGGACCUGACGGCAAGGGACGAAAGCUAGGGGCACGAACCGGAUUACGGUAACG